Molecule: ribosomal RNA, 260 nt
Filed under: uncultured bacterium
Lineage: Bacteria
Description: partial 16S ribosomal RNA
Rfam family: Bacterial small subunit ribosomal RNA
Source: RNAcentral
CAGAGGGGUGCAAGCAUUAAUCGGAAUUUACUGGGCGUAAAGCGCGCGUAGGUGGUUUGUUAAAAUUGAAUGUGAAAAUCCCCGGGCUCAACCUGGGAACUGCAUCCAAAAACUGGCAAGCUAGAGUAUGGUAGAGGGGUAGUGGAAUUUCCUGUGUAGCGGUGAAAUGCGUAGAUAUAGGAAGGAACACCAGUGGCGAAGGCGACUACCUGGACUGAUACUGACACUGAGGUGCGAAAGCGUGGGGAGCAAACAGGAUU